RNAcentral lists this ribosomal RNA (375 nucleotides) under uncultured Alphaproteobacteria bacterium. RNAcentral's name for it is "bacterial SSU rRNA". It matches the Rfam family "Bacterial small subunit ribosomal RNA", at positions 140 to 549 of the family's 1533-position model. The record is from RNAcentral. Lineage: Bacteria; Pseudomonadati; Pseudomonadota; Alphaproteobacteria.
GGAAUAAUCUAGGGAAACUUAGACUAAUACCUUAUACGCUCUUCGGAGGAAAGAUUUAUCGCUGAAAGAUCAGCCCGCGUUGGAUUAGCUAGUUGGUGAGGUAAUGGCUCACCAAGGCUACGAUCCAUAGCUGGUCUGAGAGGAUGAUCAGCCACAUUGGGACUGAGACACGGCCCAAACUCCUACGGGAGGCAGCAGUGGGGAAUCUUCGGCAAUGGGCGCAAGCCUGACCGAGCCAUGCCGCGUGAGUGAUGAAGGCCUUAGGGUUGUAAAACUCUUUCAAUCGUGAAGAUAAUGACGGUAACGAUAGAAGAAGCUCCGGCUAACUCCGUGCCAGCAGCCGCGGUAAUACGGAGGGAGCUAGCGUUGUUCGGA